GUUCUGGAGGGAAGGGGCCAGUGCGGGGCUACUGGAUACCCAAGGAGAGGGGAAGUUGAGCUUCUGUUCAGCUGAGGAGGAUGGAUACCUGCUGGGGCCUGGUGCUGAAGUUCUCUUUGCCAUGAAGGAGGAUAAUGAGAAGGUGCCUACUUUGCUAACGGACUACAUUUUAAAAGUGCUCUGCCCUACCUAACCUUGCCCUUUGGAGCAGCCUCGCUGCAGGAGGUCACUGAGCAAGAGUCAUUCCAUCACAGGGACUGCAUGAGACCAUGUAACCUCCGACAUGUAUUUAAACGUGUAUAGCUUAACCUGGAUUAAACACGAGCAAGCGCGCGGGGUCCUUUGCCGUUGGCUUCUAGUGCUAGUAAUCAUUGGAUGCAUGAUGGGGCAGGGCCGGUGAUGGUGCCUCCCCCUUGCUGGUGUCAGGAGAGGGGAAGGCAGCCGCUUUCACCGCUCAUUAUGUAGUCUGGCUACAGCCCUCAAAAACAGCUUAUACUCUUAAGACUAAUUUUGAAAUAAAACCUUCAUUUAAUUAAUA
RNAcentral lists this long non-coding RNA (538 nucleotides) under Homo sapiens (human). RNAcentral describes it as "non-protein coding lnc-ACRV1-1:5". Lineage: Eukaryota; Metazoa; Chordata; Mammalia; Primates; Hominidae. The record is from RNAcentral.